AUUGAACGCUGGCGGCAGGCCUAACACAUGCAAGUCGAGCGGAUGAAGGGAGCUUGCUCCUGGAUUCAGCGGCGGACGGGUGAGUAAUGCCUAGGAAUCUGCCUGGUAGUGGGGGAUAACGUCCGGAAACGGGCGCUAAUACCGCAUACGUCCUGAGGGAGAAAGUGGGGGAUCUUCGGACCUCACGCUAUCAGAUGAGCCUAGGUCGGAUUAGCUAGUUGGUGGGGUAAAGGCCUACCAAGGCGACGAUCCGUAACUGGUCUGAGAGGAUGAUCAGUCAUACUGAGAAUGGCUAACGGGCCGGACUCGUAGGGGGGGACGGAGUGGGGAAUAGGGGCAAAGGGGCGAAAGCAUGAUCCAGCGAGGCGGCUGGUGUAAAUAAGGUCUUAGAGUUGUAAAGCAUUUUAAGGGGGGAGGACGGGCAGUAAGUUAACCAUUUGCUGUUCUGACGUUACCAAGAGAACAAGCACCGGUUAACUGCGCGCCAGCGGACGCGGUAAUAAUA
RNAcentral lists this ribosomal RNA (505 nucleotides) under uncultured bacterium. RNAcentral's name for it is "partial 16S ribosomal RNA". It matches the Rfam family "Bacterial small subunit ribosomal RNA", at positions 29 to 529 of the family's 1533-position model. The record is from RNAcentral.